GGCGGGGCGCGGGCCCGAGCUCUGCCGGCUCUGCUGCUGACGCGCGCUGGCUCUUGGACCUGGCGACAGAGCCAGUGACAGUGACCGCCUGGGUUGGAAUCCCAGCUCUGCCGCUCACCGCUGGGCGAGCCGGCGGGUUCCUCAGCCCCUCCAGGCCGCGGUUUCACAGGCAGCAGCAUCAGCACGCGAGGGGGAACCUGGCCCUCGCGCCCUCUGUGGGAGGGUUAAACGAGUCGGUUCACCUGGAGCCGAGACCGGGGCGGACGUGCCCGUGAGCCCAAGCUGUCGGCUGUUUCUUUUUUAAAAAGCAUUUUUAUUUAUUUAUUUUUUGGGGUUAGAGAGAUGAUUAGGUUUAUUUACUUAUUAUUUUUUAACUGGAGGUACUGGGGACUGAACCCAGGACCUUGUGCACGCUCAGCAUCCGCUCUACCGCUGAGCUGUACCCUCCCCCCGACGUUAGCUGGUCCUAUGAGAGCAAGUCGCUUCCCCUCUCCGGGGUUCCGGACCAUCACCCGCAGCGUGCGAGCUUCGGAGAGACGGUCUCUCUAGGUGCUCCACUCAGAGGUUCUUAGAAAUCUGAUGCUAAUUUCCAUGCUAUUUUAUGGACCACUUGCAUGUCAUUUGCUAACUACUAUUUUUUUAAGGCCUGGCCGCAUCACAGUCCUCUUGCUGGAUUGAGCUUACUUCCAGUGAUGCUAGGAAUUGGGGGGGGGGGUCCUUCACUUGUUUUUGCUGCAAUUCCAUUUCUCUCUGCCUCCCACGUGGGCUUUAUUCCUUCUGGGAUGUUUACACAGUAGUUCAGUAACUUAACUGAUUAAAAAAUUCUCCCAUAAAUUUCAACACACUGGCAAGGGAUCUCUGUAGCAGAAACUUAAAAAAAUGGAAUUGCAGGGUUUCUGUUUGGAGACCAAGUACCUGGGAAAGAUACCGUUUAACUAAGGGUCCGCCAAUCACAGACACUCACGGGUGGCCCUCCCCGCCUAUGGUCCCAGACGCCCACAAGGCUCGGGGCGCCCGCCUGGCUUCUGCCCUGGCCCCGGGGCCCCACCCGACGGUGCACUCCAGCAUCCCUCCGGUCUCCAGAACGCACGGUGCACGGCGACCGUCAGUGCUGGGGGCCAGCUGGUGCUCGUACUGGACAGACAGCGGUUUCAGAAUGAAAACUGAAGCCAGGGAUCCGGGGUCUCUGGGCACCAGUGACCCAGACUUCGCUUCCCCAGCUGGGUGGUCAGCUCCACUAGGACCCUGGGGAGGAGGGAGCUCAGGAAGAUGGACGGGAGUGCACAUGCCGCUGUUCGCAGGCCCUGCGACCAGAGCCUCAGGUUUCUUACCUAUAAAAUGUGGGCUGGUACCUUUGUUUUGAUGAACAGAUGGCAGUAUGUGGCUUUAUAAAUUACUUCUUAUCCUGCCAAGUAACGUGCGUGUGUAUUUAUCUGGCUAAAUAAAUAUGGGGCUGCCGUUCAGUCCCAGGUCCGGGCAGGUCCAGUCCCAGCGCGUCCACUGCGCUGCUCGGUCAGGGAGGAAGCACGGGGUGGGGGGGGCGUUGUAAGGGUCUCCCCACUUCUCCCUCUCCCCCGGGGAUCGUUUACUUAUCUCCUAAUGAGUGCAGCUUUGUGACCUGUGAGUGAAUCCUGUCUUAGCGAGUCUCCCUUCCCUGUGGUCUGUGACCACGAAGCCUGGGGAAGGACAUCGAGAGCGGCCGGAGCCCCUGCCUGGGCGCCGUUCCUGCCACCUGACACUCAGCGGAGCCCUCCAGGCUGGUCUUGGCCGCCUCUGCCCCGGCUGCCCCCUGCCUGCAUCCCCCUUCCCCGCAGCCGAGGGUGGCCAGGCUGGCAGGGUCCCCUGGUCCGCGCGGACGUUGUCCAGCGCGGGCUUGUCCUUUUCACCCCGAUCCUACCCCGCCUGGUCCCCUGAGCGCAGUCUUAAUGUCCGUCGCAUGGAAGGUCGAGGAAGCUGCGGGGCAGAAAGAACGGACUUCUUUCAAGGCCUCUCGGCAAAGCAGCUGUGCAGCCAGAGCCAGAACCCGAGAACUCCGGUUCCUCGUCCGCAGCGUCCCGUCGAGUCAGACAUUCAGGGAGCGUCACCACCGUUCCAGGAACUGCCAGGAACUGGAAGACAGUCUUUGCUGACGUGACAGAGCUGGACAGGGGCUCGCCGGGCACCCAGCCUGUCCUGGGCGGAAAGAAGGAGAUCCAAGUCCAGGGACGUGCGGAGGGCGAUCCGUCCGAGACGGCUGUGCCCCCGGCUGGAAGUCAGCAGGAGAAGCCAAGAGUACCCUGAAGGCAUGGACUGAAGAGAGCCUGGCGUCCCAGGAUCAUUGGUACGCAGACAGAGGACCCGGCGUCCCGGCCUCCUCUCUGGAUGGGGAAGGCGGCCACAGUCUCACCAUGAGCUGGGAGUCCCCGCAGCCCAAGGAAACAUUUGUUUUAAGGAAAGGGUUUCAGAAAUAAGCAGAGAAAGAAGUGGGCGAGGAAGACCCUUGGUCCCAGGCUGCUGACUAGAUGAGGAAACAUCCCUGGAAACCCUAGUCUUACGAAGAGCUCAGGUCGCUCCCCAAACCUGGGCCUGCAGAGCCUGCUGGAGCACGUGCUCUUGUCGCCAUCCUCCCCGGACCGCUGGGAGCGCACGGCCCUGCUCUCCGAGCACGGAGGCCACAGAUGUCACUGCAAUCCCCCCCCACCCCGUCGCCCCUCUCAGUGGUCCAGACAAACUCUUGCCUGCUAAAUAAAAUACCACCUGCCACUCGCAAGCCCACAUCUGUGCAGGGCACACCCCUGUCCACGCGGACAACUUGUUUCAAACACCAGAGUAACAGCUUCUAUCUCACCCAAACAGACCGCUGUGAGGGCAGCUUUCCGAGUCCUCGCCCACAGGCAGGACACACAAAGCUGUCUGGAACAGAUCUGGUACUAAUUACCUGGUGCUCUGCGCUGGAACAAGUGGUUAAUCCCCAGGAGGUUUACACUGGCGACUCACCAGCCUGCCCCAGGGUGGAUACGGAACCGAUCUUGGCUCCAGGGACUGUCCCACAUCAUGUGUUGUGCACAUGUGCCCAGCCCAGGGACGGAUUCCGCCGCCCAGCAGAUGGAACCCUUCUGACGGGUCCCACCACGAGAACGUGUAACCGGAGCACAUCGUCUAGUUCCCGCCUUCUCAUGAAGAGCAUCACUGUUCUCAUCCUCAGACCGAACUCUUGCCUUUGCUCCUUCACCUGCUCUUGCCCUCUUCCAAGUCACGGUCUGGAGGCCCCUUCUGGGGCCCAGAGCCAGCAGGUGCCUGUAUCUCCACAGGCUGCCGUGGGGACCCACAGCGAACCCUGAUGUCUGAGAGCCCUCAGUUCACCCUGACGGCAGCUGCCGGAUGCUGGCCUGCUGUGUUUGGGCAAACAGUUGCAGCAGCAAACGUGGUGGGGAAGACAGCACCCACCCGGAAGAGCGAGGAGACGCCUGUGCCGGCCUUUUCUUCCAGGUUAGGGCUGCGUCUUUGAAGAGUUCCCCGGGUAGUGUCUUGGAAAUGGCUUAAACUACUAGAGAAGGUGUGAAAUAGACUUUUAAAUCUGCGACCAGAGGAUUUUCAGAAAGCAAAUGGACAAGAAUGUGGUUUCUUUUUCUCAUGGUAAUUGUAUUCCUUACAAAUUUGUGUCUGGGGCAGGAAGAAGCUGAGAGUCUUUCCUGCAGGCAGACUUUUUUUUCCCUCCCUGAUCCCAGUGACAGAACGAGUAGGUGAAGGUGGAGGGCUUCAAGAACAGACAGGGUGUAUUGGGUGCUUUUGUGACUGGAUGAUUUUAAAAACCACUUUCAAAUC
Molecule: non-coding RNA, 3804 nt
Organism: Vicugna pacos (alpaca)
Lineage: Eukaryota; Metazoa; Chordata; Mammalia; Artiodactyla; Camelidae
Source: RefSeq, a predicted model, not a curated record